CACCCGGAGUCCGUGGGAGAAAGAACCUGGUGAGCAGACGGACACCCGUCCAGUCCCGCGACCCGAGGAAUGCGACGUGAGCUAGGAGAGAGGGUGUCCGCUGUGGUAACCGCGCUGCACGACACUGGACGCUUAAUAACUGCCUGUUAAAUGGAUGAGUGAAUUAAUUAGUUUAGGUAGUGCUACGGUGUUUUCACAUUCAUGACCUGACUGCUCGCACUCUCACGGAGAGGCAGGUACGGUCGUCCCAUUUUGUAGCGGAGAAUAUCGAAGCUACAAAAGGCGAAAUGGUUGCUCACCAUCAUCUGGCCAGAAUUCGUGGGCUCGUGGACGUCCUAACCUGGGUAUGUCACUCUCUGGACAUAACUUUACAGAAAUUUUUUACCGUAUCACCAUUGCUGUGGAUAUCAGCUAAUUUAUGACACUAAUGACAUCAUCCUGAUGGACCUUGAGAACGGGAAGUAGCAGAUACCCGAGAUGACUUGGUGAGGUUCUGGUGGCCUUUGGUUGGAGGACGUUGACAGAAAAGGAGAUUCACCAAGAUUCAGUGAAAGCCCUCACCACCUCGGAGCAGGACUCUUGCAUCACUAACAGCGUGUGCAUUUGAGACCCUGUGUCUCUACCUGCUUGAGGCCGGCUGAAUAGCUCAGUUGAUUAAGAGCGCGAG
Long non-coding RNA from Hipposideros armiger (great roundleaf bat), 667 nucleotides. RefSeq lists it as uncharacterized. The transcript has 4 exons. The record is from RefSeq and is a predicted model, not a curated record. NCBI's taxonomy places the organism in Eukaryota, Metazoa, Chordata, Mammalia, Chiroptera, Hipposideridae.